GAUGAAGAACGCAGCGAAAUGCGAUAAGUAGUGUGAAUUGCAGAAUUCAGUGAAUCAUCGAAUCUUUGAACGCACAUUGCGCCCCUUGGUAUCCCGAGGGGCAUGCCUGUUCGAGCGUCAUUUCACCACUCAAGCCUGGCUUGGUGUUGGGCGACGUCCUCUUUGGGGACGCGCCUCGAAACGCUCGGCGGCGUGGCACCGGCUUUAAGCGUAGCAGAAUCCUUCGCUUUGGAAGUCGGGGCCCCGUCUGCCGGAAGACCUGCUCGCAAGGUUGACCUCGGAUCAGGCAGGGAUACCCGCUGAACUUAAGCAUAUCAAUAAGCGGAGGA
This 329-nucleotide unclassified non-coding RNA is filed under the name soil metagenome. Its description in RNAcentral is "partial contains 5.8S ribosomal RNA, internal transcribed spacer 2, and large subunit ribosomal RNA". The stretch from base 1 to 120 matches the Rfam family "5.8S ribosomal RNA", at positions 35 to 154 of the family's 154-position model. The record is from RNAcentral.